RNA transcript from Spinacia oleracea (spinach), 900 nucleotides. RefSeq lists it as uncharacterized. The record is from RefSeq and is a predicted model, not a curated record. The transcript is spliced from 6 exons. Lineage: Eukaryota; Viridiplantae; Streptophyta; Magnoliopsida; Caryophyllales; Amaranthaceae.
CCCAUUGGCCAAUUCCAAAUUUCCAAUAGCAAGUUUUCAAUCAUGGAUUCAUGGUUUUAGCUCUCACAACAGUAAAGUCAUCCACCACAAAAAGAAAAAGGUGAAAGGAGAGAGAAAAAGGAAGAAGAAGAAGAAGGAGAAGAAAAGUCUGGACCGGUGGAAAUUGAUAGCAAUCCAUCUUCUCUUCCAGCUUUGAGGGUUUGGGUUUGCUUGCAGCUCGUCCUUCCAUUCAAAGAUGGCCAUGUACAUCCGUGUUAAGCGGUGUAAGACAACCUACUUCAUUCAGUGUGAUCCUACUGAAAAAAUUCUGGAAAUAAAGCAGAAAAUACAUGGGCUUAUUGAACAACCUGUUGAUAACCAGCGGUUAAUUCUCGUAGAAACUGGGGACGUGCUGGAGGAUACAAAGACUUUAGCAGAUCAGAAGGUGGAAAAUGAUGCUGUGGUGGCAUUGACCUUGAGAAAAGUGUUGGACGUACUGCAUCUCCUGAUUGUAGGUGGAAUGUGAAACAACCUUUUAGCUACCAGGGCUAUGAAACAUUGGAACCGAGGGGUUAUAAAGUGAUAAUGAAUUUGAAGAUGUCAACAUCGAAAAGCCAAGUGAUUUCUACCAAUCUCGUGAUUCAGACGGUGGUUCCAAUUGGUAAACGAAGGCUCAAGUUUAGCUUAGUUAAUAGUUAUGGUGGCAAACUGGCAAUCGGCAGGCAACAGGUGCAAGAGUAUUGCUAAGGCCAUUGAGUGUACCUGUUUACAGAUUGAAACAUCUGGUGUGCUGAAGGCUAAGAACUACAAGAAUUCAUGUAUGCUGAUGAAAUGCAUGAACAUAAUUGUUGUAUUGCUUAGUUCUUGAAGUGUUUGAUACUAACAUAAAGUAAAAUGGCAAAUGUACCCUUUUGCUACUCA